AGAGUUUGAUCAUGGCUCAGAAUGAACGCUGGCGGCGUGCUUUACACAUGCAAGUCGAGCGAGGCGGGGAGCAAUCCCCAGUCGAGCGGCGAACGGGUGAGUAACGCGUGGAUAACCUGCCCUGAGGUGGGGAAUAACCCGGGGAAACUCGGGCUAAUACCGCAUGAAACCGAGAGGUCAAAGAGGGGAGCAAUCCUCUUGCCGCAGGAGGGGUCCGCGUUCGAUUAGCUAGUUGGUAGGGUAAUGGCCUACCAAGGCGACGAUCGAUAGCCGGCCUGAGAGGGUGAUCGGCCACACUGGAACUGAGACGCGGUCCAGACUCCUACGGGAGGCAGCAGUUGGGAAUUUUGCGCAAUGGGCUAACGCCUGACGCAGCAACGCCGCGUGGAGGAUGAAGGUCUUUGGAUUGUAAACUCCUGUCAGCAGGGAAAAAGCAAAUCGACCUAAUACGUCGGUGAGUUGAUUGUACCUGCAGAGGAAGCCCCGGCUAACUCUGUGCCAGCAGCCGCGGUAAUACAGAGGGGGCAAGCGUUAUUCGGAAUUAUUGGGCGUAAAGGGCGCGUAGGCGGCUUUUCAAGUGACGGGUGAAAUCCCUCGGCUUAACCGAGGAACUGCCUGUCAGACUGGAAGGCUUGAGACCGGGAGAGGUGAGUGGAAUUCCCAGUGUAGCGGUGAAAUGCGUAGAUAUUGGGAGGAACACCAGUGGCGAAGGCGGCUCACUGGACCGGAACUGACGCUGAGGCGCGAAAGCGUGGGGAGCAAACAGGAUUAGAUACCCUGGUAGUCCACGCCGUAAACGAUGAGUGCUUGGUGUAGCGGGUAUCGACCCCUGCUGUGCCGAAGUCAACACAUUAAGCACUCCGCCUGGGGAGUACGGUCGCAAGACUGAAACUCAAGGAAUUGACGG
Molecule: ribosomal RNA, 907 nt
Filed under: uncultured bacterium
Lineage: Bacteria
Description: bacterial SSU rRNA
Rfam family: Bacterial small subunit ribosomal RNA
Source: RNAcentral